Long non-coding RNA from Neoarius graeffei (lesser salmon catfish), 479 nucleotides. RefSeq lists it as uncharacterized. NCBI's taxonomy places the organism in Eukaryota, Metazoa, Chordata, Actinopteri, Siluriformes, Ariidae. The record is from RefSeq and is a predicted model, not a curated record. The transcript is spliced from 3 exons.
UGUAGCUACUUGCUAGUAGUCGCAGAGAGGUUCACACUGCACGAUUCAUCCGAAUAUCAAACAUGCUUGAAAAUCCCGGAGCCUCGGCGAACGCUCGCGGACUGAGAAACAUCCUGUCGGUGAACGGUGCGCGUGAGCAGUCCACGGGAGCGCGCACUGAGGAGUCGCCGAACCGGUGAUAGCGAUGAUGGAGAGGAGACUUAGCGGCAGGAAAAAUGAACAGUGAUGAUGUAAUGAAUUUUGUUCCUUGCUUGUCCUUGACUCAGGUGUGUGUACUGCAGCGCUCAGCUGUGUGUCUGAGAUCUGCGAGAGGCUCGUGAACGUCUUUACAUGUGGAGGAGAAAGGCAUGAUCAUGAUGCAGCACCAGAGGGCUCAGAAAAGUCAGAAGAAGAAGGUGUUGGACUUUCAGUGGUGGAGACUGAACCAGCAGGGACCCAAAGCUCAGUGUGUCCUUUCUUCUCCAGAGAUCCAUGAGACA